Molecule: long non-coding RNA, 3700 nt
Filed under: Homo sapiens (human)
Lineage: Eukaryota; Metazoa; Chordata; Mammalia; Primates; Hominidae
Description: HSALNT0099236
Source: RNAcentral
AGAAACUCACAAAGCAGGGGUGAGACCUCUGCUCGACAGCAAAGGCAGGCAGCGUCCCUCAUCCCUGCACCACGAGGGCGUCACAGCCCCUUCCCGGGUGGCCACAGCCACAGGGCACCCUGCGCCCUCUCCGGGCCUCGCCUUCCUCUUCUGAAACAGGACGGUGAUCUCAUCCCCCUCACAGGCUGAUGCAGAGACCUAAGGAGCACACUGGCUGUACACGGAGGAAAGCACCUCGGUUUCCUGAAGCAGUGUGGCAUUCGAGUCUGAUUUCCAGCAACUCCACUGCCCCCGCAGCCAGACUUUGCAUGAGCAGAGUUCGCAAACCUUCUAGAAUCUGGCGAGGAACAGAGGAAAUCAGCUAAAGGGCGUAACAGGAAGUGGGGCCUGGACCGGGAACCUGGUUCCUCCGCUCUUUCCCUAUAGGUACAGAAGGAACAGGCCCAGGAAUGAGUAAGAAUGUUUUUCUCUACAAAUAACUCACACCCAAGCCUCAAGCAGGGUUAGGGAGUGAGGCAUUGUGUCAUCACCUACCACAGGAAGCCCAGAGCCAGGGCAGACUCCAGACACGGCACGCAGGGUUGUGACUCUACACACCUGGCGCCUGGGGCACUGGUGUCUUCCAGGCAGCUCUGCCAGGUGUCACAUCUGGACAAGACAGAGAGGUACUAUCUUCCCCUUAGGAGUGAUGAACUCCUUUCCAGAAGCUUCCUGCAGGCUUCUCCUCAUGCCUCACGUCUAGAAUAGAGUGAUCUGCAUGUUCCAAGAACAGUCACUGGUUGGAGAGUUGGUAUCACCGUGACUGGGUGAGCCUGAUGGCUCUAAACUCUGGCUGUACAUCAGAAGCACACACUGAGCUUCUGAAAAGGAGAGGCCUGGGCCCCACUUCCAGAGAUUCAGUUCAAUGGAUCUCCUGUAGUACCUGAGCAUCAGAACUUCGUAGCCCCCGAAGGUGCAUGCUACGGCCAGAAAGAAACUCAGGGAAAAAUGGAUGUUGCAGAGACGUCGCCACAAAUGAAACCCACAGCGACAGGAGAAAGCGGCUCGCGUCCCGUUGAAGAAGAUGCUUCCCUGGAUUACUGUGCAGAGUUGAAGCUUUACCUUUCACCUGGAGAACGCGUGGUUCUGUGACCAAAACAGUGGCAGCUCCUCCACCAGCCCCUGCUGCUCCCAUCCCUUCCAGGGAAGAAACUUUUGUUUCUGUGAUGCCAGCGCAGGCAUUCAGAGCAAAGCCACUUCCAGGAAAUUCUAAGAAUGAGGUGCGGGCACCACUGGGCUGGCGCAUGAGAGUCAUGUGCCUCAGACUCCACGCCCCCUGCUGACCGUGCCCACAGGCUCCCAGGUUAUCUGUGGCGGAGGUCAGGGUCUGCUGGGCAGGGUCAGGGAUGUCUGGUUGGGCUGAAGCAGAUGCAGGGGUCCUGCGGUCACCACUGCCUCCGAUGAAGCUCUGAAUGGUCUUCUCUGUUCUUCCAUACGGUCAUGUGCCACACAACAACAUUUCCAACCACAGACAGCGUAUACUAUGGUUGUCCUGUAAGAGUAUAAGGGAGCUGAAAAAUUCCUAUCAUGUGAUGACAUUGUAGCCACCUCAACGUCUUAGCACAAUUAUAUAUAUAUACACACACACAUAUAUAUACUUUAUAUGUAGAGAGAGAGAGUGUGGCCUACGUGUGCAGUGUUUAUAAAGUCUGCAGUAGUCAUAGUGAUGUCCUAGGUCUUCACAUUCACUCCCGACUCACCCACUGACUCACAAGAGCAGCUGCCAGUCCUGCAAGCUCCACUCAUGGUAAGUGCCUUGCACAGGUACUGUUGUUCAUCUUUCGUAUUGUUCUUUCACGGCACCUUUUCUCUGUUUAGAUACACACACGCCACUGUGUCAUAAUUGCCGACAGCACUCAGCGCAGUGACAUGCAGGUCUCAGCCUGGCACGACAGGCUGUCUCAUAUCGCCAGGUGUAAAGCAGCUCAUAGCACGCGGGUGUGUGGAAGUUCACUCUGCGAUGCUCACACAACAGCAAAUUGCCUGAGGACCCAUUUCUCAGAAGGUAUCCUUGUCCUUAAGCAACACAUGACUGACAUUUGUAAAAGGGGCAAGAGACAGCUUGUGCUUCUCAGAAAAGGUGCCCAUUUUCAACUGGUUUAGGAAAUUUAGAAAGAGGGAGGAGGAGUAUUAAAGUGGCUAAGAGUGUUUCUUUCCAGUUGGUUGAUUCUGCACCUCACACACCUAAGGAGUCUGGGAAACAUCCUGGGUAGCAGUGGUGGAGAGUGGUCGUAAUUUACAUUGAAAUGGGGAUCACCACUGCAUAUACAGAUGGCCUUGCUAGGUGCUGAGGAAGCUCUGAUGCCCCCGCGAGGAUCAAACAUGAGUCGUGGAGACAGGACAUGGUGACAUGUAGGAGAACACAGUUGAAUGCCAGAUUAGCCUUCGAGCUUCCUGAGAACUGAGACAACGAGGUCCCCUCCAUCUUUGAGUCAGCCUGGCCUCGGGGACAGAGGAUGGAUUUUGGAGUCGGACAAGCCCCGGCUGAGGCUCCCUUCAGUCAUGACCUUCCAAGACGAGAAGCUUCACGGCAGGCAAUGAACAGAGACGGCGUCAUCUCCAAGGCUCAGUGGAGCGAGUCACGUCACCCUCACUUAGCUGCAUGGGUAAGUAAGCCCAGGCCUAGGGAGCUAGCGAGGGGCGGGGCCUGAAUUUGAACUCCAGCGGGCUGGCUGCAGGCCCUGCUGCCUCAGGACCCCCACCACAGGGAAGCUCACAGCCUCUCAGCAUCUAGCCCAACCAGGCCAGUCAAGAGGUUGGCAAAUUCUAAAAACCCCCGAUCACCAGCUGGUCUGGUCCCUCAGGCCUGGCUGUUCUCAGUCUGCCCCCUGGCUGUCCCCGGGGCCUCCCCAGCAGGGCCUCCAAAGGCACCCCUCCCACGCUUCACACCUGCCUGGGGUGCCUCUUUUCUCCUUGAAUUUAACUACAUCCAACAUCUCCUGAGCUGUUUGUGUGUGCUGGGCAGUGCACUAGGCUCUACAAAGAUAAGUUAGAAACAGUCCCUGUGGCAGGGAACUCACAACUUAGUCUUGGAGAACACAAUCUUGAACCCAGAGAAAGCAUGGCAAAUGUCUGCAAACACAUUCAGGGGGUCCGAGGGACUGACGAGGUAAGCACAGCCCGUGGGUUCCAUGCUUCAGAGCCUGGGGAGCACUGCCGCUGUGGAGGCGUCUGCACCACACGCUCGACAUUUCAUUCCAACCCUCACAACCGUCCUCCAAGAGAGCCAUUAUCGCUCCCACUUUUUGCAGAUGAGAAAAUCAAAUUACAGCCUGGUGACUUUGACCAUGGCCAUGCAGCUAGCCAUGGGCAGUGCCAAAUUUCAAAUACAUGUUCAUCUGGAUCCAUGUCAGCCUGAUUCCCACCAUUCCAGAUCCUCCCCUCAGUGCAGCCCAACCCUCUUUCAGAGCUGACGUCUCUGUAACCACCCAGCUCCUAAGUGGAGGGUUCAGGUUCAGGCUCAGGUGCCCCGUCCCCAAGCCUGCUCUUAGACCUGGCACAGAGCUGUUUAAGAGUAACUGGCCAAGGCUCUGGUGAAUGUGAGCCUCUGGGAGGUCCUGAAGAGGACAAAUGAAGGGUGUUUAUGUGGAAAGGAAGGAGAGAACUUCAUGGGCUGCGGUGAGGACAGGAAGACUCAGGCUUGCCUGGGAAACAGCAUCUG